Molecule: ribosomal RNA, 305 nt
Filed under: uncultured bacterium
Lineage: Bacteria
Description: bacterial SSU rRNA
Rfam family: Bacterial small subunit ribosomal RNA
Source: RNAcentral
CUCCUACGGGACGCAGCAGUGGGGAAUAUUGCACAAUGGGGGGAACCCUGAUGCAGCGACGCCGCGUGAGUGAAGAAGUAUUUCGGUAUGUAAAGCUCUAUCAGCAGGGAAGAAAAUGACGGUACCUGACUAAGAAGCCCCGGCUAACUACGUGCCAGCAGCCGCGGUAAUACGGAGGAUGCGAGCGUUAUCCGGAUUUAUUGGGUUUAAAGGGUGCGUAGGCGGUCUGGAAAGUCAGCGGUAAAAGCCCGGGGCUCAACCCCGGCGAGCCGUUGAAACUGUCGGACUAGAGACGGCGAGAAGUA